AUGCCCCGCGCCUGGCAGCUCGUGCGUGCGCUUUGUCGUACUGCGUCCUUUCGCUUCGGCCACCGCGGGGAGCAGUCGUGCCGUGCUGCCGCUCCAGUGGGCCUGCUUUGUUCACGCUAAAUUUGUUGCUCAAGGCUCCAGAGAGGAGAUGAGCCCUAGCCCCUGGUGUGGGAGACUCAGGGACCUGAGAGAGCAAUGUCACCGCAGACCAGACCAGCCGAUCACGGCUCACCAAGUGCUGCGCCGCCAUAGGCAUGGACCAGGCUCAACCAGCCGAUCACAGGUUGCUGCGAGUGUGCUCAAGGCUCCAGAGAGGAGAUGAGCCCUGGCCCCUGGGUGUGUGUGGGAGACUCAGGGACCUGAGAGAGCAAUGUCACCGCAGACCAGACCAGCCGAUCACGGCUCACCAAGUGCUGCGCCGCCAUAGGCAUGGACCAGGCUCAACCAGCCGAUCACAGGUUGCUGCGAGUGUGCUCAAGGCUCCAGAGAGGAGAUGAGCCCUGGCCCCUGGGUGUGUGUGGGAGACUCAGGGACCUGAGAGAGCAAUGUCACCGCAGACCAGACCAGCCGAUCACGGCUCACCAAGUGCUGCGCCGCCAUAGGCAUGGACCAGGCUCAACCAGCCGAUCACAGGUUGCUGCGAGUGUGCUCAAGGCUCCAGAGAGGAGAUGAGCCCUGGCCCCUGGGUGUGUGUGGGAGACUCAGGGACCUGAGAGAGCAAUGUCACCGCAGACCAGACCAGCCGAUCACGGCUCACCAAGUGCUGCGCCGCCAUAGGCAUGGACCAGGCUCAACCAGCCGAUCACAGGUUGCUGCGAGUGUGCUCAAGGCUCCAGAGAGGAGAUGAGCCCUGGCCCCUGGGUGUGUGUGGGAGACUCAGGUAAAGUGGGGGGGCGGUGCUGUUGGGUUGGGU
Long non-coding RNA from Conger conger (European conger), 913 nucleotides. RefSeq lists it as uncharacterized. The record is from RefSeq and is a predicted model, not a curated record. The transcript has 10 exons. Lineage: Eukaryota; Metazoa; Chordata; Actinopteri; Anguilliformes; Congridae.